GCGCGUGGCGGCGUGCCUAACACAUGCAAGUCGACGGUGAUGACUGAAAGUUUUCGGAUGGACUUCAUCAUAGUGGCGGACGGGUGAGUAACGCGUGGAUAACCUGCCUCGUACUGGGGAAUAGCAGCUGGAAACGGCUGGUAAUACCGCAUAAGCGCACGAUGCCGCAUGACAUUGUGUGAAAAGAUUUAUCGGUACGAGAUGGAUCCGCGUCUGAUUAGCCAGUUGGCGGGGUAACGGCCCACCAAAGCGACGAUCAGUAGCCGGCCUGAGAGGGUGAACGGCCACAUUGGGACUGAGACACGGCCCAGACUCCUACGGGAGGCAGCAGUGGGGAAUAUUGCACAAUGGGCGAAAGCCUGACGCAGCGACGCCGCGUGAGGGAUGAAGGUCCUCGGAUCGUAAACCUCUGUCAGGAGGGAAGAACCGCCACGGUGCUAAUCAGCCGUGGUCUGACGGUACCUCCAAAGGAAGCACCGGCUAACUCCGUGCCAGCCGCCGC
This 502-nucleotide ribosomal RNA is filed under the name uncultured bacterium. Its description in RNAcentral is "bacterial SSU rRNA". It matches the Rfam family "Bacterial small subunit ribosomal RNA", at positions 37 to 518 of the family's 1533-position model. The record is from RNAcentral.